CAGUCGCCACGGGAAUACGUAGGGUGCGAGCGUUAAUCGGAAUUACUGGGCGUAAAAGCGUGCGCAGGCGGUUGUGUAAGACAGGUGUGAAAUCCCCGGGCUUAACCUGGGAACUGCGCUUGUGACUGCACAGCUAGAGUAUGGCAGAGGGGGGUGGAAUUCCACGUGUAGCAGUGAAAUGCGUAGAGAUGUGGAGGAACACCGAUGGCGAAGGCAGCCCCCUGGGCCAAUACUGACGCUCAUGCACGAAAGCGUGGGGAGCAAACAGGAUUAGAUACCCCUGUAGUCCCUGUCUCUUAUU
RNAcentral lists this ribosomal RNA (301 nucleotides) under uncultured bacterium. RNAcentral's name for it is "partial 16S ribosomal RNA". It matches the Rfam family "Bacterial small subunit ribosomal RNA", at positions 509 to 808 of the family's 1533-position model. The record is from RNAcentral.